CGGGGUAAACCAGGUUUUGUAGCCGUGUGGCGAGGAUGAGUCUUGAAGACUGAGGCACACGAAUGAAGAAAAAGGGAAAUAAAUGUUUGGGGGCGUAAUCCAGCCAUCCAAUCCAGACAGCCAGAUCCAAUGAAAACAAAUGACUUUCCAAUGAGCGCACAGCGUCGUUAAACCUCGUUGGAGUGGUGCUCCUGUGGAUCAGCACUGUCAGCCCUCCUACCAUUGAUGAAUGAAGUGAUGGAAUGUCUCAAAUUAAGAAAUUAAAGGGUUUAAAAUGUCUUUAAUUGGUUGGGUGAAAAUCAAAACAGCAGUUGUACAGUGAUUCAAACACACAUCAACAUACAAUAAACCAAAUAUACAGCUGUCCUUUUACACCUGUCCCUGAUCAAUGAAAAAAUAGUGCAAUAGGCCUAUAGUCAGAUCUCAUUGCUGUGAUUCAUUUGUCAUAUUUACACAUUUCUCUCCCACAUCAUCAUUAUAUUGUUACAAUUCAUUCAGUGAUUAAUCAAUAAUUUUCCUGUAUGUAUCCCUCUCACCUUUGCAAUCCCAAAAGCAUUACAUCCUGAAGUAAAUAUGUAUUUAGGUAUAAGAACUGAAUGAGUGACACCACUGGACACCCAAAAAUAGAACUAAGAUGAUCUGAACUCCAUACUCACACGUUAGCUUGCAACUAAACAAAACAGCAAGAACACAAGGUAAUCUAUAUAAGACUUUCAUUCAAUAAGCUCACAAUGAAGCAUAAAACCAAACUGUAACAAAGGAGAGUAAUGUAACUAGGGUAUAAAAUAGGCUACAGAACCAAGGCUAAAAUAACAGUCCCAUAGAAAAGCAUUUUCGUGUGACUUAUAAUAUUGCAUUUAUCUAUUUAUCUGCCUAAUACUGAUGGGAUUAUAUUUUUGGCAUUAUUUGUUAUUUGGAGAUACAUUUUAAUUGUCAUAUUAAUAGUGUAGAAUAUUAGGCUACCUACCAUUAAAAAGGUUUGAAUGCUUACCCGAGACCUUCAUUUUAGCUUGGCACACAAACAUACCCAAUUGCAAUGAGGUUUCAGGA
Long non-coding RNA from Oncorhynchus nerka (sockeye salmon), 1050 nucleotides. RefSeq lists it as uncharacterized. NCBI's taxonomy places the organism in Eukaryota, Metazoa, Chordata, Actinopteri, Salmoniformes, Salmonidae. The transcript is spliced from 2 exons. The record is from RefSeq and is a predicted model, not a curated record.